Non-coding RNA from Phrynosoma platyrhinos (Desert horned lizard), 71 nucleotides. The record is from the annotation of a GenBank genome assembly. Lineage: Eukaryota; Metazoa; Chordata; Lepidosauria; Squamata; Phrynosomatidae.
GCCAGUGUGGCAUAAUGGUUUGAGUGCUGGACUACUGCUUUGGAGACUAGGGUUUGAUUCCCUGCAUGGCU